CCUGCAGUCGACGGUAACAGGUUAAGCUGACGAGUGGCGAACGGGUGAGUAAUGUAUCGGAACGUGCCCAGUAGUGGGGGAUAGCCCGGCGAAAGCCGGAUUAAUACCGCAUACGACCUACGGGUGAAAGCGGGGGAUCGCAAGACCUCGCGCUAUUGGAGCGGCCGAUAUCAGAUUAGGUAGUUGGUGAGGUAAAGGCUCACCAAGCCGACGAUCUGUAGCUGGUCUGAGAGGACGACCAGCCACACUGGGACUGAGACACGGCCCAGACUUCUACGGGAGGCAGCAGUGGGGAAUUUUGGACAAUGGACGCAAGUCUGAUCCAGCCAUGCCGCGUGCGGGAAGAAGGCCUUCGGGUUGUAAACCGCUUUUGUCAGGGAAGAAAAGUCUGGGGCUAAUACCUUCGGACGAUGACGGUACCUGAAGAAUAAGCACCGGCUAACUACGUGCCAGCAGCCGCGGUAAUACGUAGGGUGCAAGCGUUAAUCGGAAUUACUGGGCGUAAAGCGUGCGCAGGCGGUUCUAUAAGACAGAUGUGAAAUCCCCGGGCUCAACCUGGGAACUGCAUUUGUGACUGUAGAGCUGGAGUGCGGCAGAGGGGGAUGGAAUUCCGCGUGUAGCAGUGAAAUGCGUAGAUAUGCCGAGGAACACCGAUGGCGAAGGCAAUCCCCUGGGCCUGCACUGACGCUCAUGCACGAAAGCGUGGGGAGCAAACAGGAUUAGAUACCCUGGUAGUCCACGCCCUAAACGAUGUCAACUGGUUGUUGGGAAAGUUCCUUCUCAGUAACGUAGCUAACGCGUGAAGUUGACCGCCUGGGGAGUACGGCCCCAAGGUUGAAACUCAAAGGAA
Molecule: ribosomal RNA, 850 nt
Filed under: uncultured bacterium
Lineage: Bacteria
Description: bacterial SSU rRNA
Rfam family: Bacterial small subunit ribosomal RNA
Source: RNAcentral